This 24-nucleotide transfer RNA is filed under the name Plestiodon ochoterenae. Its description in RNAcentral is "partial tRNA-Met". Lineage: Eukaryota; Metazoa; Chordata; Lepidosauria; Squamata; Scincidae. The record is from RNAcentral.
GUAGAGUCAGCUAAUUAAGCUCUC